Molecule: ribosomal RNA, 501 nt
Filed under: uncultured bacterium
Lineage: Bacteria
Description: bacterial SSU rRNA
Rfam family: Bacterial small subunit ribosomal RNA
Source: RNAcentral
UUCUGGCUCAGGAUGAACGCUGGCGGCGUGCUUAACACAUGCAAGUCGAACGAAGCAACUUAUUACGAUCCCUUCGGGGUGACGAUUGUGACUGAGUGGCGGACGGGUGAGUAACGCGUGGGUAACCUGCCUUGUACAGGGGGACAACAGUUGGAAACGACUGCUAAUACCGCAUAAGCGCACAGCUUCGCAUGAAGCAGUGUGAAAAGUUUUUCGGUACAAGAUGGACCCGCGUCUGAUUAGCUAGUUGGUGAGGUAACGGCCCACCAAGGCGACGAUCAGUAGCCGACCUGAGAGGGUGACCGGCCACAUUGGGACUGAGACACGGCCCAAACUCCUACGGGAGGCAGCAGUGGGGAAUAUUGCACAAUGGGCGAAAGCCUGAUGCAGCGAACCGCCGCGUGAGCGAAGAAGUAUUUCGGUAUGUAAAGCUCUAUCAGCAGGGAAGAUAAUGACGGUACCUGACUAAGAAGCACCGGCUAAAUACGUGCCAGCAGCUGC